This is a non-coding RNA of Mus musculus (house mouse), 319 nucleotides long. The record is from Rfam. Lineage: Eukaryota; Metazoa; Chordata; Mammalia; Rodentia; Muridae.
GGAUGUGAGGGUGAUCUGGCUGUGACAUUUGUUACCCCAUUGAUCACCAGGGUUGAUUCAGCUGAUCUGGCUGGCUAGGCAGAUGUCCCCUUCCUCCCUCACCGCUCCAUGUGCGUCCCUCCUGAAGCUGCGCACUCGGACAAAUAGGAUGACCUUCCCCGAAAAGAGGAGGACCGUCUUCGGUCAAAGGUAUACGAGUAGCUGUGCUCCCCUGCUAGAACCUCCAGACAAGCUCUGUUUCCAAUUUCUAGGUAUUACGGAUAGAGCAGCAUCGAGUAAAGAUGAGCAAGUGUCUCUGUAGUAGGAUGUAGAGUCCUUU